Molecule: ribosomal RNA, 471 nt
Filed under: uncultured bacterium
Lineage: Bacteria
Description: bacterial SSU rRNA
Rfam family: Bacterial small subunit ribosomal RNA
Source: RNAcentral
AUUGAACGCUGGCGGCAGGCCUAAUACAUGCAAGUCGAACGGUAACAUAAGAAAAGCUUGCUUUUCUUGAUGACGAGUGGCGGACGGGUGAGUAAGAUUUGGGAAACUACCUGAUAGAGGGGGACAACAGUUGGAAACGACUGCUAAUACCGCAUACAGCCUCAGGGUGAAAGAAGCGAUUCGCUAUCAGAUGUGCCCAAACGGGAUUAGCUAGUAGGUGAGGUAAAGGCUCACCUAGGCGACGAUCUCUAGCUGGUCUGAGAGGAUGAUCAGCCACAUUGGGACUGAGACACGGCCCAGACUCCUACGGGAGGCAGCAGUAGGGAAUAUUGCACAAUGGAGGAAACUCUGAUGCAGCCAUGCCGCGUGUGUGAAGAAGGCCUUCGGGUUGUUAAAGCUCUGUUUCCUAGGGACGAGUAAUGACGGUACCUGGGAGGAAGGCACGGCUAACUACGUGCCAGCAGCCGCGGU